GGUCAAGCCACACUGAGUAUUAGGGGAGAAGAAGGCUGUCCAAUUGGGGCAGGGGGCCUGGCCCUGGGGGAGCAGGCUGUGCCCUGGUGGGAGGGGAAAGGGUGGCCCUCCUGUGCCCUGGGUCUAAGGCUAGAAGGGCCCAUUGUCUCUAGCCUGACCUGCUGCAUGACACCAGUCAUAGGACUUCCCUGUGUGAAUUAAUUCCUGCUUCCAGUCCAAUAGCUGUGGCUCAACUAUAGCAGACCUUCUGGAAAACCGUCCAGUCUGGAUUUAAAAAUGUCCAGCGAUGGAGAAUUCACCACAGCCCUCGGAUCACGUCAUCCCUUUUGGUCACAGCGUUGCGCUGGAAGCACACGUUCAACUGAUUAUCCGUCACGAUGACCCCUCAAGUCUUUUUCACAGUCACUGCUUCCCAGAGCUGGGUCCCCCAUCCUGUGGCUACAUUGGCAGCACUACCAAUUUCUGGAACUCCUGAUCUCAAGCAGCGCUAAGUUGAAGUGCUGCUGUCUCCUGGAAAAGUGUAUGAAACUUUCCUUUUUUAAGGGAUUAUUUUAUUUCGCCAGUGUGUCAAUGUGUCAGCCCAGAGUGGGUGUAUGUUUUCUAUCAGCAGGUGGGAAAAGGACAAUGCAAAACUCUUUGUGACUUUAUUUCACCUGUGAAGGUUGCUGAGGAUGGAACAGGUGAUAAUGGAGGGACCAGUGACCAUGAAGACAAAUAUCACUUCUGCCGGGUAGCUGGGUGGAUUUUUGAAAUAGGCAGUCUGCUAGUACAGCACAGCUAUCCUGCCCUCUAAUGACAAUAUCUCUCUGUGAGGAGGGGAAUUCUUGUGUCCGCUCUCUGGCCUCUCAGUUCCUGACUUUUACCCAGGAUGCUGUGACUAGUUCAGUCCCUUGGAUGCUUUUAUUCAGUUUUUGAGCUCUUAAUUAAAAGGUGGGCCCAAUGAACACAUUCCCAAACUAGAUCCCAGCAUUGUGCAUGAAAAACUGGAUCUUUGCUUCUUGAGAGUUCAUCCUUAUUCCUGCUCCUUAUUCCUUGUCUGAAGUGAUGACCCUUUGCUGGCUGUGACAUCAGAAUUGAUGGCUGGAGAAAUGAUUGAUUUCACAGGCUAAGGAUUAUGACCUGAAAUGGUGGGAGAGGAAAAGUGGCUGAGCAGAUGCCUGAAGGAGGCAGGGAGGAUGGAUGGCUUUGCCAAUAAAGGUAGAAGGAGCAAACUUGUGAAUAUAUAGCUCUCUUUGCAUAAGCAAAAUUUCCAGUCUUCAACAGGAGCUUUGCCUGAGUAAGUGCAGAGAAGCUGAAAGUUUUGCAGCUGAAAUGUUUUUCAGGUUUGCCAUAUCAAUUGGUUGUUUGGUUUUGCUUGGGUUUUUUUUCAAUGCAGCAAUUCUUGGUUCCCAGGAUGUAGAGGGGAGGUGGGUUGUUUUGUUUGCAUUACCCCCACAUAGACCAGUAAAAUUGUGCCCAUCCUGGACACCCAGCUUUUUGUUGCCUCUUAUAUGGUAGCUAGCUCUUGGCCUUGCAUUUCAAUUCCUUAUAGCCUGAUCCAAGUAUUGUUUUCAUGUUCCAUUUCUUUGCAGGCCUCCUUCAAAGUUAUAGUCCUCUGACUGGUGACUUUUUGCACCUGACUCAACAUUUUACAGUAUUUCACUUUUGUACAUUGUGUAGAGGUCUCAGCCUUUGGGUUUCAUGCAUUGUUAUUACUUGUAAAGGUCUUGUUUGUUAAUCUGAGUGCAGAAGCUGGGUGUGGUCGCAGUGCAGACCUUUUUUGGCCACAUCCGCUUCCCUCUCAAGGCUCAAUGAAUUCUGGACAGGGAUUUCAUUACCCAGCUGCACAAUCUGCCAACACAACCUUGUCAUUGCAAUUUGUCACACAUAUUUUAUAUGUAUUCUGUAUUUCACUGAAGUCGCAUUCCCCAGGCAAUUCAUAUACAGGCUACUUGUUUGGUACGUAGAUCAACUUCCGAUGUGACCUUGACCAACACUGUGUUCUCACCUACAGUUGUGCCACAUGUUGGUGGAGGUUGGCUGCCUGUCUUUACCCUAGAAGUGGUUGCAUUUCAGUGUCCCUACCCUGAGAUGUGCUUUGAGUUCUACAUGUAAAAUAGAAACGGGCUUGAGCCAAGAAUAGAGACCUAACUAGAGCUGGUCAGAUUUUUUGCUGUAAAAGGUCUGUUUGUUUUAAUGGAAGAUAGCUAUUUUACUGAAAAAAAAUCCAGGUGAAAUGUCCAUUUUUUAAUUAAUCGGGGGUAAAUAAUUAAUUUUUUUGGCCAUACGCACAAAAAAACCGUGGUCGAUUUGGGGGGGGCGACCCACAAAUUUGGUUUUACUGAAAUUUUCUGCCUGACUGGCUGAAACUUGUGGUUGCGUAAAACUGAAUUUUUGGAGGAGUUUUGAUUUAAAAAAACACACACAAGUAAUUCAUAGAAACUGUUUUCAUUUUCUUCAAACAUUUUCAGAGGGUGGAGGGAAAGAGAGGGAAACCCCCAUUUCCUAACUAGUGUUAGACUCAGCCCCUUUAGAAGUUUGCAUACAAUCCUGGGCCUCUCUGGAGUCCCUGAUCUGAACAACUUUUGAAAUCUGUGUGAGUUUGGAUCUGCCAGUGUACAUGUUAACAUCAUGUUCAUCCCAUUAGUAUCUGUCUGCCUGGCUCCAGCUAUCAAGUUUUCACUUUAGGUUCAUCUCUCAUAUAAUACUGACAUAGGGAAACAUUUAGUAAAAUUGAGAGUUCACCAUGAAAAUUACCCUCGUUUAGUACCCAGAGGCUUAGUAGAUUCCAGAUCAUCAACCAAGGCAGAGUCAGGGAUCAUGCUUUCACCUGCUGUGCUCAGUUCUAAUGUGGUGGGUACUUCCCCAUGGAAGCCUUUCUUUGUAUUGAGGAGCAGUCUGAGAGAAGGAAACUAUUGUACCAUUCGUAUGGACUGCAUCACUGUCUCCUUUUACCCAUCCGUGGAGUAAAAGGACCAAGUUUUCUAAGAGGUAACAGGAGCUAAGAUUUAGUGAGCAUUCAGGGGGCAGGCGUUGAAUGUGAUGGCACCUGUGCAUGUCUCAUUUGCUUCCCAGUGAGGCCAGAUAAAAGGUGAGGAAUCUGCCACUGGCUCAUGCUCCCACUGAAACUGGUGGCAAAACAUGCCCAUUGGCUUUAAGGCCCAGUUCCCAACGUACUAGAGCAUUCAAUCGGCACAGAGGCAGUGACAGGCCCUCUUUCGUGCGUGAAGGGGGGCAGAGCAGGGAAGUCAGCAAAGGAGUGGGACAGAAGAAGAGAGCAAAGCCAGGGAAGGAAGGGGGAAAGAACGUGCAGAGGAGGAAACGGGGAAAGGGAACUGGCACUGCGGAGGGAGUGGGGUUGGAAAGGAAAGGAAAUGGGUGGGGAGAUGAGGCAGAUGAAGAACUGCAAAGAAGAAGGGGGAGCUGCAAGAAAGGGGAGAGAGGGAGAAGGCAGGGACCAAACUCAACACAAAGAAGAAAUGUAAGAAUUUAAUAGAGAACAGAUCCUGCAAAAAUGCAGAGCAGAGAGCAAGAUGGCCAUGGGCUAGGAUGACUAUGGGGAUGCUGACGGGGCCGAGAGGAAGGGGGGGCGGGGCGCACGGUUAUGGGCAGGUGGAGAUCUGUCACAAGUGGAGGGACUUUAACCUCCAAAUAGCUGGGAAUCACAUCCUGUGAGCUUAAACUGAGUCUGUGGAGGAGAGUGUUGCAGCAUCUAGUGGGAGGGAGGAGAAAGGAGGAAGUGCUACUGAGUGAGCUGAGAUAUGAAAGUACCUCUGAGGUUUAGAGCCAGUUUGAGACAGGGGACAGUGGCAGGAUACAAAAAACAGAGCGGAGGGGGAGGGGAAGAAGGCUCACGCUUCAAGGUCACAGAGAAAAGGGCUAGAGCAUUUUAUACUUUGUUUUCUUUGCAGCACAAAGCAGAAGUCAGCCUGCAGUUCUCCUCAGGGUAAACAGCAGCACAAUCUCCCUGAGCAUGGAAAUCUGUUCUGGCUUUUGUCCUAAUGCAAACAGUCCUCACCUAAUACUUGAGUUCAUUUGUUUUUGUCUCAGGUAAAUACAGAAUGUCCAGUUAUUCAGUGCUUCCAAAGGAGAAGAUAGUUCAUGGAAUAACAAGGCAUAAGUCAGUACUUUGGUGAGGUGAGCACAAGAGUGCAGUGUGGCUGGAGGUCAGUUUUACUUUGUUGGAAUAAAUCAGCUGCUGCUACUGAAAGCAAAUAGGGAACUGAUUAAGAGCCAAAUUUUGCUGUUCUAAUUUGGUCAAUGCUCCCUCCCCCCCCAGCUGAUUGGUCGCGUAGUGGUACCCAACACUUUUGAGUUGGAUUUCCCUUCCCGCUCUCCCAAUUUCUGACAAAUAUACAGGAUCUGGCCAAAUUCCAGAAGCUAUUUUUAAAAAUAAUCUCUCAAUAGAUAGCAUGUGAUGUGUGGGGGCUGGGGGGGAGCAAUUCAAACUGAACAACUUUCACCGUUUUGCUGGAUGUUUGUUCUUUUGACCGAACAAAUCCACAACAAGCAAGUCAAACAUUCCACUCUGUAAGGAGUCUGAGCAUCAGGGAAACAGAAUUACUCAUGAAUAUGAUUUUUGCCCAGCAGUUAAUGUGGAGGGGAACAAGCUGCGUGUGUGUGAACUGAAAUGUUCUAUUUCUGCGUGAACUGGAUUCCUUUUACAAACCUAAACCCCCAAAGCUGACAGCAAGCAAGGAAAAUUACACUCAAGAGCACAGUGUGCACAGGAAGGAGCCAGAAAUAUGGUGGCCUCUAGGGGCCACUCUCCUGGAUCAGGACCCCACUGCUCUAGAUGUUGAACAGACACAGAAAGAGAAAGACAGUCCCUGCCCCAAAGAGUUUACAGUCAAAGUGGAAGAUGAGAGACCACAAGUGAAUACGACAAACAGGGGAGCACAAGGAAACAGACACUGCUGGUCAGCAUGAUAAGCAGCCAUCCCAGCCCACCAGCUUCCUGAGCCCUGUAGGCAUUGUGACAGCUGGAGUUAGGAGGAGGUCAGGGGACAGUCUGUGUUAUGCUCUGUCUGAAUUGACCAAGUAGUGCCCUAAACAAUGGGCUCAAUCUUAUGCCAUUGAGGCCACGGGGUGUCAGCGCUGUGCAGCAGUGGGGGCAGGAUGGGACCUCUCCUGAGCUUAUUGGGUGGGACUGCAGUAGAGAGGAGAAUGGCUGCAUGUUUCAGUGUGAAGCUGCUCACUUCCUUAACAGUUAAAAGGAAAAUUACUGCAUGGGAAGAGUUCUUAGCACAGCAGUUUUAAGAACCAACCAGUUUCCUAUUUGAGGCCAAACUGUAAGUCAUACGGAGAAGGCAUCCACCUCCUGCGAUAGUUACCAGUCCCUUCCUGUAGCCUCAUCUUAGGUGAGAUCACCCCUCUGCAGUGAGCCUCUUGUGCAUGAUGGGCCAUAUCCUCACCUGGUGUAAAUUAGCGUGGCUCCACCGUCUUCAGCAGAGCUAUGUAGAUUUGCAGCAGCCGCACAAAGGAGCUGCAGUGUGCCAGUUCCGCAGAGUUGGGGGGUAGCAGCUGGCCUCUCUUCUUGCCAAAUCAUUCAUAAAAGGCCUAGCAAGAAUUCUGCAAGGGAGUUUUUUAUCCUGGUACUAUCCCUUUAAACAACACAGAAACAUGGUUAAAACAACAGUAGAGAAGUGUAAAAAGAAAUAUACACAGAAACCUCACGUUCUCUCCCCUUGAGGCUCCAGCCCAGACAAAUCUAAUCACUUCAAAAACUCAGGCAUAUGUCUUUGGCAAAGCUGAAACAAGGACAGGCCAGCAGAAUGACUGUGGAUUAAAGUCUAGAAACUGGAGGCCACUUUCAGCCUUACUUUUGAGAGACAGCUGGACAGAAUGAAGAGAUUCUCUAAUACACUAGUCCUGCUAUUCUAAUUGUGAAGCUGCUAUGACUUAUUGCACUCAAAAUGUACAUUAUUUAUGCAGUAUGUGAUAACUUGAUCUACCCUUAUAAUUUUUGCAGUGUCAAUUCAGUCUUGUAUAUUUCUCCAAAGCCUGUAGUUUUAAAACAUUUGUGUGUGCGUGUGUGUUUUGCUACCACAACUUACAAGUUGUAGUUAAUAUGGGAGCCUGUCAGAAAUACAGUACGAUGAGCAUGUGUAUUUAAAUAUUCUCUACUGGCAAAGCAAAAUACCAUUAUAGUAUGAUGUUUAAUAAGGUAUUGUUGAUAAGACAGAAAUAUCUGCAAUACAAAUCAACAUGUAUGUUA
This is a long non-coding RNA of Chelonia mydas (Green sea turtle), 6196 nucleotides long. RefSeq lists it as uncharacterized. The record is from RefSeq and is a predicted model, not a curated record. NCBI's taxonomy places the organism in Eukaryota, Metazoa, Chordata, Testudines, Cheloniidae. The transcript has 3 exons.